RNAcentral lists this ribosomal RNA (568 nucleotides) under uncultured bacterium. RNAcentral describes it as "partial 16S ribosomal RNA". It matches the Rfam family "Bacterial small subunit ribosomal RNA", at positions 355 to 1375 of the family's 1533-position model. The record is from RNAcentral.
UGGGGAAUAUUGCACAAUGGGCGCAAGCCUGAUGCAGCAACGCCGCGUGAGGGAUGACGGCCUUCGGGUUGUAAACCUCUUUUAGUAGGGAAGAAGCGAAAGUGACGGUACCUGCAGAAAAAGCACCGGCUAACUACGUGCCAGCAGCCGCGGUAAUACGUAGGGUGCGAGCGUUGUCCGGAAUUAUUGGGCGUAAAGAGCUCGUAGGCGGUCUGUCGCGUCUGCUGUGAAAACCCGAGGCUCAGCCUCGGGCCUGCAGUGGGUACGGGCAGACUAGAGUGCGGUAGGGGAGAAUGGAAUUCCUGGUGUAGCGGUGGAAUGCGCAGAUAUCAGGAGGAACACCGAUGGCGAAGGCAGUUCUCUGGGCCGUAACUGACGCUGAGGAGCGAAAGCGUGGGGAGCGAACAGGAUUAGAUACCCUGGUAGUCCACGCCGUAAACGUUGGGCGCUAGAUGUGGGGACCAUUCCACGGUUUCCGUGUCGCAGCUAACGCAUUAAGCGCCCCGCCUGGGGAGUACGGCCGCAAGGCUAAAACUUAAAUGAAUUGACGGGGUCAUAGCUGUUUCCU